AAAACAAGAGCUUUUCAGAUGAGCCAAGGACGACUUCCUAAAAUACCACUUCAAUGGUUGUCUAGUUGUACGAGUACAAUUUACAACUCUAGAUUUCUAUGGAUUUAGGCAAGUCAUCCUUGGCUAUCCAAAUCGCUCUUU
Helianthus annuus (common sunflower) is the source of this 141-nucleotide non-coding RNA. The record is from Rfam. Lineage: Eukaryota; Viridiplantae; Streptophyta; Magnoliopsida; Asterales; Asteraceae.